Molecule: ribosomal RNA, 253 nt
Filed under: uncultured bacterium
Lineage: Bacteria
Description: partial 16S ribosomal RNA
Rfam family: Bacterial small subunit ribosomal RNA
Source: RNAcentral
UACGGGGGGGGCAAGCGUUGUUCGGAAUUACUGGGCGUAAAGGGUUUGUAGGUGGCCGGCUAAGUCAGACGUGAAAUCCCUCAGCUUAACUGGGGAACUGCGUGUGAUACUGGAUGGCUUGGAUUUGGGAGAGGGAUGCGGAAUUCCAGGUGUAGCGGUGAAAUGCGUAGAUAUCUGGAGGAACACCGGUGGCGAAGGCGGCAUCCUGGACCAAUAUUGACGCUGAGGAGCGAAAGCCAGGGGAGCAAACGGG